This 386-nucleotide ribosomal RNA is filed under the name uncultured bacterium. RNAcentral's name for it is "bacterial SSU rRNA". It matches the Rfam family "Bacterial small subunit ribosomal RNA", at positions 30 to 416 of the family's 1533-position model. The record is from RNAcentral.
AUUGAACGCUGGCGGCAGGCUUAACACAUGCAAGUCGAGCGGUAACAGGGGUGCUUGCACCCGCUGACGAGCGGCGAACGGGUGAGUAACGCGUAGGAAUCUACCUAAUAGAGGGGGAUAGCCCGGGGAAACUCGGAUUAAUACCGCAUACGCCUACGGGGAAAGCAGGGGAUCUUCGGACCUUGCGCUAUUAGAUGAGCCUGCGUCGGAUUAGCUAGUUGGUGAGGUAAAGGCUCACCAAGGCGACGAUCCGUAGCUGGUCUGAGAGGAUGAUCAGCCACACUGGAACUGAGACACGGUCCAGACUCCUACGGGAGGCAGCAGUGGGGAAUAUUGGACAAUGGGGGCAACCCUGAUCCAGCCAUGCCGCGUGUGUGAAGAAGGCC